GAUGAACGCUGGCGGCGUGCCUAAUACAUGCAAGUCGAGCGAACGGACGAGAAGCUUGCUUCUCUGAUGUUAGCGGCGGACGGGUGAGUAACACGUGGAUAACCUACCUAUAAGACUGGGAUAACUUCGGGAAACCGGAGCUAAUACCGGAUAAUGUUUUGAACCGCAUGGUUCAAAAGUGAAAGACGGUCUUGCUGUCACUUAUAGAUGGAUCCGCGCUGCAUUAGCUAGUUGGUAAGGUAACGGCUUACCAAGGCAACGAUGCAUAGCCGACCUGAGAGGGUGAUCGGCCACACUGGAACUGAGACACGGUCCAGACUCCUACGGGAGGCAGCAGUAGGGAAUCUUCCGCAAUGGGCGAAAGCCUGACGGAGCAACGCCGCGUGAGUGAUGAAGGUCUUCGGAUCGUAAAACUCUGUUAUUAGGGAAGAACAUAUGUGUAAGUAACUGUGCACAUCUUGACGGUACCUAAUCAGAAAGCCACGGCUAACUACGUG
RNAcentral lists this ribosomal RNA (497 nucleotides) under uncultured bacterium. RNAcentral describes it as "partial 16S ribosomal RNA". It matches the Rfam family "Bacterial small subunit ribosomal RNA", at positions 28 to 507 of the family's 1533-position model. The record is from RNAcentral.